UCUCUUCCUUCUCUCUCUCUCGCUCUCUCUCCCCUCUUCUCUUUCUCUCUCUCUGCUCAUCGUAUAAGCGUCGUUCAUCCGCAGUCGGAGGCGGAGCAUCAUUCUUCUCCGGCGUCGGUGCUGGCGCUGGAGGCGGUUCCUCGCCGACGUAAGUGUAGAGAGAGAAAGAGGGGAAAUAGAGAGAUAGUUAGGGUUUGCAGAUCACCGUUUAAAAUGAAAGGGGGUCCGGCGUUGCCGCCGUCGACCGCCUCAGUGGGCUCGACAAACCGGUGGGAGCAUGGCUUGGCGGCGCAACUGUGGUGGUGAGGAAUCAUCAGAGUAGUGAAUUGAAGGGAAAUUGGGUUAAUUCUUUCUCGUGGACGCGAGGAAUUAGGGCUUUUUUGUGCGAUUCGAUUUUGGUGAAGGGUGAAUUUGAUUGGUGAUGAAGAGCUUGGCGGUGACGGCGUCUUCCACGGCCAGGGCCAAUUGAUUAAUAUCAAUAUUGAGUAUUUUGGUACCGAUGAACUGCUGCACUACAUUUCUUAGAGGUAAUUCCGUUUUCUUUUUCUUUUUUUGUGUGUGUGCAUAAGUGACCGCAAUUUAUCUGGAAAAUCAAUUAUUUAUGGGCUAAUUUUUGUUGUAGAUUAGCUUCAAUUUAUUGCGGAAGUUUUCAUUUUGCUUUGGUUUUCGUAGAGAAAAGGGUGUAUUGACUAUUGAGUGCUCUUUUUGGCUGAAUUGCAUCCAUUCAUCGUAUUGUUUGUUAAUGGUGCGAAUUCCAUGGCUAUCUUCACUGAGGCAGGUCACAGAUUUAUCUGAGCAAACAUCAUGAAUUCCUGAAUGGAGGGAGUAACUCUAAAUUGGUUCCUUAACUUUUCAUUUAGCCAUGCUUAAGGAGGAUGAGGACUGGCUUCGAGAAUAUUGUUUGUUUAUGUUGUACCUGAAAACUAUUGAUGCUCUAAAAUUGUAUUUAAUUUUCUAUUUACCUCUUAAAUAAAUGUUUAUCUCCAUGAAAUUCACUCUCGUUUUUCUAUCUAAUUAAUUUCACAGAGUUGGUAUGCAGCGACUGCGAGAGGCAAAAAACACAAGCAGUAGAUUAUCUGAUCCUGUUGAUUGUCGGAGCUUGCUUGGGCUCACUCAUCAAAGCGAAUGAUGAAACCUUCGGUUUUAGUGCUUAUACAUAUACGAUUAUUGCUGUUUAAGAUUAAGUAUUAGGGAUCUGAUCUCCAACACUCCUGUUUACAGUUUAGCUACUGAUGUAUCAGGAGAGGGACUGAGUUUGGUGUUGAGGCGAUGGGCUAGCAAGAAAAUGGCCGGAUCUACGAAAAA
This is a long non-coding RNA of Salvia miltiorrhiza (redroot sage), 1305 nucleotides long. RefSeq lists it as uncharacterized. The transcript has 2 exons. Lineage: Eukaryota; Viridiplantae; Streptophyta; Magnoliopsida; Lamiales; Lamiaceae. The record is from RefSeq and is a predicted model, not a curated record.